Molecule: ribosomal RNA, 304 nt
Filed under: uncultured bacterium
Lineage: Bacteria
Description: partial 16S ribosomal RNA
Rfam family: Bacterial small subunit ribosomal RNA
Source: RNAcentral
CAGCAGUAGCCGCGGUAAUACGGAGGGGGCUAGCGUUGUUCGGAAUUACUGGGCGUAAAGCGCACGUAGGCGGCUUGGUAAGUUAGAGGUGAAAGCCCGGAGCUCAACUCCGGAAUUGCCUUUAAGACUGCCGAGCUAGCAGGUGAGAGAGGUAAGUGGAAUUCCGAGUGUAGAGGUGAGAUUCGUAGAUAUUCGGAAGAACACCAGUGGCGAAGGCGGCUUACUGGCUCAUACUGGACGCUGAGGUGCGAAAGCGUGGGGAGCAAACAGGAUUAGAUACCCCUGUAGUCCCUGUCUCUUAUAC